GUUUGAAUCUACAGAUUUAGUGAAUAUAUCAUAUGCCAAAGAAUUUUCCGAAGAAACUAUAUGGUUCAGGUAGUUGAAUAUUGAAUAUAAUAUUUUAUUUUUCAAGGGAAUUCUAUUAAGUUCAGCUCGACAUCCAUCAUUAGAUGCCUUACAGUGAACCCCUAAUAUGUCUUUGAUAAAUUUAACAUGAAGUUUUUCAAAUGGAUCAGAGUCUUUAAAAUGUGAAUCCACCCCCCA
RNAcentral lists this long non-coding RNA (237 nucleotides) under Mytilus galloprovincialis (Mediterranean mussel). The record is from RNAcentral. Lineage: Eukaryota; Metazoa; Mollusca; Bivalvia; Mytilida; Mytilidae.